CAUUGUGCGUUCGCAGCUGAGCCAUUUGAAUUGAGGCUCAGGCUGGAACGACAGCACAGCUGUACAGUGGGACAAGGGAGGUCUCGUGGGUUUUGUAUGUCUCAACCUGAUUUGGCAAGGCUUUCAUCUGGAGAACUGCCACGAGACUUAGAAGAUCAGCAGCCAGAUCACUGAACAGCGUGGAAUAGGGAUAAAAGACUGAAGGAAUAUGCUGCAUCUUGAACCCUCCACACAGAUAAUGAAACAGUGACUGUGCAGAAUGACAGGGGAGAGGGAACUAGCUCCAGUGCAAAACUCAAAGACUCACAGGGCAAUGCAGCCUUCCCCUAGAGGAUGACAAGGAGACAAUGAGCCUGGGACUGAGAAAAAAAGGCAUUGAAAUCUCUGCCUCGUGUCAGUCAUCUACUGUCACUGUGCUGACAGGGCUGAGAUUACUGGAGAGAAUCUGCUCUGGAUCACAGUGAAGAGUGUAAGAUCUCUUGAGAAAUCAGGGGCGUUCAUUUCACUUCUUCACAUAUGUGUGAAGAA
Tyto alba (common barn owl) is the source of this 528-nucleotide long non-coding RNA. RefSeq lists it as uncharacterized. The record is from RefSeq and is a predicted model, not a curated record. Lineage: Eukaryota; Metazoa; Chordata; Aves; Strigiformes; Tytonidae. The transcript is spliced from 3 exons.